GGAAGGGUGCAGGAGUGGUUGAACUGGCGACACUGGAAAUGUCGUGUACGGGCAACCGUACCGGGGGUUCGAAUCCCCCCCCUUCCGCCA
This 90-nucleotide transfer RNA is filed under the name Bacillota bacterium. RNAcentral describes it as "tRNA-Ser". It matches the Rfam family "tRNA". Rfam says of the family: Transfer RNA (tRNA) molecules are approximately 80 nucleotides in length. Their secondary structure includes four short double-helical elements and three loops (D, anti-codon, and T loops). The record is from RNAcentral. Lineage: Bacteria; Bacillati; Bacillota.